RNAcentral lists this unclassified non-coding RNA (212 nucleotides) under plant metagenome. RNAcentral's name for it is "partial contains small subunit ribosomal RNA, internal transcribed spacer 1, and 5.8S ribosomal RNA". The record is from RNAcentral.
UUUCCGUAGGUGAACCUGCGGAAGGAUCAUUAAAAAUGAAGCCGGGAAACCGGUCCUUCUAACCCUUGAUUAUCUUAAUUUGUUGCUUUUGUGGGCCGCGCAAGCACCAGCUUCGGCUGGAUCGUGCCCGCCAGAGGACACAACUCUGUAUCAAAUGUCGCCUGAGUACUAUAAAAUAGGUAAAACUCUCAACAACGGAUCUCUUGGUUCUG